RNAcentral lists this non-coding RNA (45 nucleotides) under Trichobilharzia regenti. The record is from RNAcentral. Lineage: Eukaryota; Metazoa; Platyhelminthes; Trematoda; Strigeidida; Schistosomatidae.
AUCCGUAUGACGAGUCCCAAACAGGACGAAAUGCGGAUUCCGAAU